GUUGUGGCUCAGGGGCCAGCACCUGCUAGUACCAGGACACUACUGGGAGGCUGGGACCUGACCAAAGCUCAUGGUGUCUGUUGCCUGAGGACAGGGUGUCUUGGGCCAUAAGGCCAGGCCACCAAUGGCCAUUGGGUCAUAGGGGCUCAGCCCCAGUGUUUGCCCUUCCCUGGCUCCUUCUGGUUCGGUCCUAUCAGGGCCCUGGAGCCCAAGACCCAGCAUCCAAGGUCCCCUCCAGGAAUCCUGGCGGCUCAGCUUACUUUGUCAUGUUUCAUCUGAGAGCAAAAAUGUCAGAUCGGCUGCACAGAAAAAUGGCUCAAAGUACUUAAUGACUAGAAGAAAUCUAGGAGCAGCAAGAAGAGCGGGACAAACAGGCCAGGCGGUGUCAGGAGCACAGGUCUCCAGCUGGAGGGAGUGUCAGCCCUGCAGUAGGAGUCCAUCACGCAUCCUAGGCACAUAUGCUAAUGUAGGUAUCACAGGAAUUCAAGUGACUAUAUUGCCACCAUCUUGGAGCUCACUGCCCUCAGUGUAAUGGCACCAGUAGAUCUGCCUGUGCACAGACUUCCUGUACUACCCACUCUUGAGGGGUGAUGCUUCUGCCUCACCAUAUGCUCAGGCCUAUGACCGGAUGCACAACUUUAGACACCAUCAUCCUGGAGCAG
RNAcentral lists this long non-coding RNA (662 nucleotides) under Pongo abelii (Sumatran orangutan). Its description in RNAcentral is "lincRNA". Lineage: Eukaryota; Metazoa; Chordata; Mammalia; Primates; Hominidae. The record is from RNAcentral.